Molecule: ribosomal RNA, 2863 nt
Filed under: Triticum aestivum (bread wheat)
Lineage: Eukaryota; Viridiplantae; Streptophyta; Magnoliopsida; Poales; Poaceae
Description: partial small subunit ribosomal RNA
Source: RNAcentral
CUUUUUUGCUCGGCGAGAGAGCAGAAGGUGGAGAGGGCUAAGGGUGUAGGGUGGCGGCCGGGAGCAGAAGGAAGGAAACUGGAGCGGCUGCCGGACUCGGGAGAGGGGAGAGGGGAGUAGCGUUCCGCUCUGUUCUCCUCUCCUCUCCUCUCCUCUUCCUCUAGGUCGCGGCCGCCGGUACCGCGUAGAGAACUGAAGAGAAGGAGUGGGGUCUACGGUCUAGGUAGGUAGGGCCGGCCUGUGUUGGCUGCCGCGCGGGCAGGCACUCCACUCCUCUGCUCGCCUCCCCGAGCCCCUGCGCUGCCUCGACGACCGUUCGACGUUCCACGAUCCAAACCGGAACCGCAGAAGGCAACCUGCCCGGGUGACGUAGAAGCCGUAGCCGAUACUUUGUCUAACCCAACCAGAUGACGUCUACUCGGCGUGGCGCAUCGAACCCCUCUACUACAGCGCGGGCCACCUCCACCGGUGCGGCCUUGCCUCCGACCGACUCUAGCUACGGGAGAAGCGUUAAGCCUCCCUCAACGUGUGACUUAGGACGAUGGACUGACUACAACUGUUCACGAAACCGAGGUGGGUAUACGAUCACGAUCUACAUUGAAAACCUUCGAAUAAUGGGGAAAAGAAGAGGAGGUCAAUACCGCAGAUAAGUAAAAGACGUUGAGACCUGCACCCUCUCGCUCAACCUAUGAAAGUCGGCCUCCUGAACGACUGGUGUUCGUUGUUGGACCUCGAGGAGAGACGUUGACGAUGUCUUUUAAGAUUGUACCGAGUGUGCGCAACGCAGACGACGUGGGAGGUGUAGUUCUUCUACCAUACGAGGAAGUCGCAGACGGAGUGGCGAGCGCAUGCGUUGGCAUAACUUCCGAUGUGACAAUAACAGGAUACGAAGAAAAGGUACAGUCCCUGGGACUUGACCGCCGUCGUAAGGCACCGGGUCUCACUGUGGAAUGGGACACAAACAACCUUUGACAAACGACGUCACUACUCGUUGGGACGGUUGAAGCGUUUCGUGGUCCGUUUGGAUUUCCACCCAAGGUAGUAUCGCUCCUACCACCGCUUCCAGUUCCCCUUGGCCCUCGUGGACGACUGGUGUUCGUAGUUGAAUCUGGGGGAGAGGUGUGGACUACGUCACUACCCGUUCGUUGGGACGGUCGGUUGAAGCCGUUCGUGGCCGUUUUGGCUUCCGCCCAAGGUAGUAUCUUUUCUACCACCGCUUACAGUUCCCCUUGGCUAAAGUAAAAAGUCGAACUGUUAGACGAACACCUUCUUAGUAACGAAUUAGGGUAAGAUGGAUCUACCUUUUCCCCCGGAGGAACUCAAGCGUCUCUGCCGACCAGUAUAACAGUAACACCACCGACUCCCACGUCGGGUCUGGAGUGGCAGAGAGGGAUCGGGGCUUUCGUUUCAAAAAACGUCCCUCCUGGACGACUGGUGUUCGUAGUUGAACCUGGGGGAGAGACGUUGACGACGUCCAGUUGGAUCUGAGACGUUUUUCACGACCGAUGGACGUUUGAAAGGUAAUUAUCAUCAUCAUUAUCAUCAUAAGUACUCACGGUGCAUAAAAGAAAGGUUCCUUGGGAACUGAAGUCAACCAGUAUACCAGUAACAUCAGCGACUACUACGACAGCUGUUCUAGAGUAGCGGGUUUCAGGCGUAGGAACAACCUUACAACACAAGUGACCUCUCUGGACUGAACCAAGGAACCUAUAACAGCUAUUGGCCUCUCUUAUUGGUGCACCUUCAGCACCUCCUCGUACUCAGUUCUCUUCAGUAUUCUUGGGAACUGAAACCAGUGUUCAUGGUACGGCUAACAACGAAUUAGGGUCCCAGCGGUAAGAUGCAACUUCCUUUUCACCCCGAGACGUUGAAGUAUGUCUUCCGACUAGCAUACCAGUAACACCACCGACCGCUACGAUCGGUAUUCUAGAGUAGCGGGUUUAGUAAUUAACACACCUGGGGUGGUAGAGAAGGAGCCGAGUUGAUGUCACUUUUGGAAUCCAAAAAUAUAAAAAAACCAAUAAACGUUGUCUGAGCAACCAGGCCCAGGUAGUGACAAUCUUACAACACGUUGUACUUUUCCGUACUCGGACAACAUUGAGAGAGAACAGUAGCAGAACACAAAAACACAAGUAACGUCUCUGGACUGAACUAAGAAACCUAUAAUAACUAGUGUCCUCUCCUCUUCUUUGUGGACCUUCAGCACCAACCAACAAUGUCCCGGUCCCCCCAGAACUCCUAUACCAGUUCCCGGUAUACACACCUCUGCCAACAGUUUCGUUAAUUCUACACAUCAAACCGACCAAGUUCUAUAUACGUUUACUACUCGUUCGUUGGGACGGUGGAAUCCGUUCGUGGUCCCUUUGGGCUUCUACCCAAAGUAGUAUCGUUUCGAUGUCGUGACACCGUGGGACUGGAAAAAUCCUUCUUCGUGGAAAACUAAGUCCUGUAUAAACUCAAGUAACUUUCAAAUGGAACCAGAAUGGCACACUUCACACUAGAUAAACGACACCAUCCUCUAUCUGGACUGAACCAAGAAACCUACUAUAACUACUGUCCUCUCCUCUUCUUUAUGCACCUUCAGCACCAACCAACAAUGUCCCGGUCCCCAGAACUCCUGUUUAUACUCCUCUGUCAACAGUUUCGGUAUGACGUUGGGGCUGUGUGCCACCACUAGAAGGAGCGGACGUAGCUGAGGCCGGCGGAGAAGAAACUGAGGACGUACCCAUUCUGUGGGCCAAGGAAGAGAACGGGAGAGUGUACGAGGUUCCUCGGGCUGGUAGUACCGGUACAACACGGCCGGUAGUACGGUUACUGGUUCACGAACACCACCACCACCAGUAGACCGGUGGUUAGGAGAACU